ACCAAGUCCUAUAAUAAGAACUAGGAACUCAUCUGGAUCGUUCAUUGAGAUUCAUCUGACGGCCUAUAGUUCACCCGCUUCAUUAAGGGUAUUUCCGUAAUUUUAGUCAAUGAAUGACCUUUGUUCUAAUUUUUUCGCUUCUGUUUUUUUUUUUUUUUUUCGCUCUCUUCUUCUUAGUUUCUCUCUCUUCUCUUGAAAGCUCUCUACGGCAAUUGAUAGUUCGAUUUCGCUGUUCGAUUUUUUGGAUUUCGCUGUAUGAUAUCUUCAAUUUAGUUCCAAUUCUUCGAGUUUGCUACUCGAUUUAUGUUAAUCGAUCAUCAUGGAGAGGGGAAUGAGGUGUAUGUAAUGAAGUUGCAUGGAGAAGUUCUAAAUCCGAGAAGUGGUUGAGUCUUGCUGUCUUGCCAAGGUUGCUGCCCUGCCAAGGGUGCAGAUACUACUGUGGUGUUGGUGCCGAUAGAAUUUGGACAUGAUCUGAUGUUCAGUACAAAGCUAUGAAAUUAACAUAAGUGGAAGCAAAAUUCUUAAGUUGCUGCCCUGCCAUGGCUUGCUACUGCAGCUUCUAAUUUUGGCUUGACAAGGCUGCUGUGCUAAUUUCUGCUCUACCGCCUGCUGCUGUUGUGCUACUUCUACUUUACCGCCUGCUGCUGCUAUGCUACUUCUGCUACACUGCUGCUGCUGUAAAUGUUUGUUGGGAGUUCUUGAAGUUGAGCGAAACGGGCUAAGUCAGGCUCCUGCAAAUGUUUAUUGGAGUGCUAGACCUUUAUGGGAAGUGAUUACCCAAAAGGUUCCUCCUUGCCCAAUGAUGUGAAAAAGUGGCUUCUGAAGAAACCUUCAAAGGACAUGAAGAAAAAUCAGAGUAAAACCGAUGUGAAGAGUCGUUUAAGUGACAAAGUGAUUCCCGUUAAGGAACGCUUGGGGGAAAAGGUUGAGUUCAAAACACCUACAAUG
Long non-coding RNA from Chenopodium quinoa (quinoa), 948 nucleotides. RefSeq lists it as uncharacterized. The transcript is spliced from 5 exons. Lineage: Eukaryota; Viridiplantae; Streptophyta; Magnoliopsida; Caryophyllales; Amaranthaceae. The record is from RefSeq and is a predicted model, not a curated record.